This 88-nucleotide transfer RNA is filed under the name Spirochaetota bacterium. It matches the Rfam family "tRNA". From Rfam's summary of the family: Transfer RNA (tRNA) molecules are approximately 80 nucleotides in length. Their secondary structure includes four short double-helical elements and three loops (D, anti-codon, and T loops). Further hydrogen bonds mediate the characteristic L-shaped molecular structure. tRNAs have two regions of fundamental functional importance: the anti-codon, which is responsible for specific mRNA codon recognition, and the 3' end, to which the tRNAs corresponding amino acid is attached (by aminoacyl-tRNA synthetases). tRNAs cope with the degeneracy of the genetic code in two manners: having more than one tRNA (with a specific anti-codon) for a particular amino acid; and 'wobble' base-pairing, i.e. permitting non-standard base-pairing at the 3rd anti-codon position. Lineage: Bacteria; Pseudomonadati; Spirochaetota. The record is from Rfam by way of RNAcentral.
GCCGAAGUGGUGGAAUUGGUAGACACAAGGGACUUAAAAUCCCUCGGUUUUUUAUAAGACCGUGACGGUUCGAGUCCGUCCUUCGGUA